This 198-nucleotide ribosomal RNA is filed under the name uncultured bacterium. RNAcentral's name for it is "partial 16S ribosomal RNA". It matches the Rfam family "Bacterial small subunit ribosomal RNA", at positions 328 to 539 of the family's 1533-position model. The record is from RNAcentral.
ACGCUCGACACCUACGGGAGGCAGCAGUGGGGAAUAUUGCACAAUGGGGGAAACCCUGAUGCAGCGACGCCGCGUGAGCGAAGAAGUAUUUCGGUAUGUAAAGCUCUAUCAGCAGGGAAGAAACUGACGGUACCUGACUAAGAAGCACCGGCUAAAUACGUGCUAGCAACCGCGGUAAUCUGAGCGGGCUGGCAAGGC